UACGAAGGGGGCUAGCGUUGCUCGGAAUUACUGGGCGUAAAGCGCACGUAGGCGGCUUUCUAAGUCGGGGGUGAAAUCCUGGAGCUCAACUCCGGAACUGCCUUCGAUACUGGAGAGCUCGAGUCCGGGAGAGGUGAGUGGAACUGCGAGUGUAGAGGUGAAAUUCGUAGAUAUUCGCAAGAACACCAGUGGCGAAGGCGGCUCACUGGCCCGGUACUGACGCUGAGGUGCGAAAGCGUGGGGAGCAAACAGG
This 253-nucleotide ribosomal RNA is filed under the name uncultured bacterium. RNAcentral's name for it is "partial 16S ribosomal RNA". It matches the Rfam family "Bacterial small subunit ribosomal RNA", at positions 524 to 776 of the family's 1533-position model. The record is from RNAcentral.